CAGAAAGGGAGGGUUUCUUUUGUGUUUUUCAGAGCAAAGUGAUUCUGAUCAGAGAGAACCAAGGUUUCAGCUCCACGUACCUGACAUUUCCAUCUGAAUCCACUUUUUUUUCUCUUUUUAAAGGAGGGGGGAGGUCUAGUUUUUCAGGAAAAGAGCCUCUCCAUGCAAUCCUGAAACCGAUCUUCAGAUUUCCUUUUCCUUAAUCAAUAGAAAGCAACUUGAUUGCAACUCAACACUCCCCCGACUCUAGUGCAGGACUAACUGAAUUUUUGGUUUUAAGAGUAUGGGAUUCGGACGUGAUUCCAGGGAUCAGAAAUAAUUGACAGUCACGCAAGGAGAACUGACGUGAAUUCUUAUACCUAAUUUUCCGGGCUCACCAAGAUUUGAGUUAAUACUUUUCACUCAAUUCCUCCAGUCUCGACUGAACAGGAUGAAUUAUUCAUCAUUACUUAGAAUUUGGGUCUCUUUCAUCUUCGCUCUUGUUCGGCACCAAGCUCAGCCCAGGGAGCUCAUGUAUCCAUUUUGGCAGAAUGACACCAGAACCCCUAAAGUAGACGACGGAAGCUCAUCUGAGAUUAAGUUGGCCAUCCCUGUCUUCUUCUUUGGUGUUCCUUACCGCACUGUCUAUGUAAGUGCAGAAGCGGCUCUCCCUGUUGUCUAUCAUUAAGGAAAACACUUAAAAAAACAAAACAAAA
This 695-nucleotide long non-coding RNA is filed under the name Rattus norvegicus (Norway rat). RNAcentral's name for it is "long non-coding RNA NONRATT028450". Lineage: Eukaryota; Metazoa; Chordata; Mammalia; Rodentia; Muridae. The record is from RNAcentral.